UACGAGGGGUGCAAGCGUUAUUCGGAGUGAUUGGGUGUAAAGGGUGCGUAGGCGGUAUGUUUAGUCAAUUGUUAAAUUUCCCAGCCUAACUGGGAAUCAGCAGUUGAUACUGGCGUGCUAGAGGGUGGAAGAGAGAAGUGGAAUUCUCGGAGUAGCGGUAAAAUGCGUAGAUCUCGAGAGGAACACCAAUGGCGAAGGCAGCUUCUUGGUCCAUUCCUGACGCUGAGGCACGAAAGCAUGGGGAGCAAACAGG
Molecule: ribosomal RNA, 253 nt
Filed under: uncultured bacterium
Lineage: Bacteria
Description: partial 16S ribosomal RNA
Rfam family: Bacterial small subunit ribosomal RNA
Source: RNAcentral